Long non-coding RNA from Dromiciops gliroides (monito del monte), 1706 nucleotides. RefSeq lists it as uncharacterized. The transcript has 3 exons. Lineage: Eukaryota; Metazoa; Chordata; Mammalia; Microbiotheria; Microbiotheriidae. The record is from RefSeq and is a predicted model, not a curated record.
UAAUUAGUGCCUGCAAAAAGUCAUCAACCUGCAAAGUGAAAAGCGCAUUGCCAUGAAGCCGCCGCUGCCACUGCCGAGAAAAUGCCAAGAUCAAAAGUUCAGAUCGGCUUUUAGGCCGAAAAUCAUAAAAGCCCAACUGGGUCCACAUACCUGCAAAGUUCUCUACAGAUUGCUCAGCAUUCAAGACUCUCUACAAUCUGCCUCCAACUUGGUCCGCUUCCCUAUAUCUGGAUGUUGCUGAAUGACUCUCACUUGGUUUAAGUUCACUUAAGAAGCCCUCUCCUCCAGCCAUCACUGGUGACCCAGAACCAUGCCUACUUCCACCUGCAGCUUUCAGUUGGCCCAAAGGCAGAAAAAUAUUAAGAACCAUUCAAAUUCAUCUGAAAUGUCAACCUCUGAAUGUGGACUAUUAGCAAUGAAAACAGGAAGUAACCUUCCCUCUGAGUAAGUACAAUCCACAAAACAAUGGGCCCCCAUUAAAAGGAGGCCCAGCCUCCGGUGAAUGACAAAGGCGGAGAAGGGCAGCCUAACUGGGCUGGAGGUGGCUGCUUCUGUUGCUGAAGUUGGAAUCCAAAAUCCCAACUACUUGCCAGGGCCGGAAAUAUCUCGCCAAGGCUGGAAUAGCUAAAAUGGGCCACAUACUAGGUGUGAGUGGACACUCGUACACACACAGAGAUGCUUAGGAAGGGACAGCGUCUGAUGAUGAUGAAACAGUUAGUCAAUAAGCAUCUAUUAAGCAUCUCCCAUAUUCCAGGCACUCUGUGAGGUUGGUGAUAGAAAGCCAACUGAUAAACAGGGAUUCACUCUUUUCCAUUUAAAAAAAAAUCUGAUUUCAGAUGAAUGUUUACAUAUACAAAGAAUUGAAAGAGCAUUGCACACAAGACUACAUGCAGAGCUUUCCAGACCUCAAAGCACUCCAUGAAUUGCUAUCUUCUCAAAGUCAGAGCUCGGUUCAGAGUACUGACCACUGUACCACCCAGCCUUCCCUUCAGGCUGUUGUUUUGACAGCCCUCUGAAGGAAAGAGCUCCGGAGGUUCAGAAUCAGUGUCCGGUGUGCAGUGUGCAGUGUCGGGAAGCUAUCACUUCUGCCAGGCCAGGACUUGCUUGACCCUCCAAAGAAGACUGGGGCCCCUCCGAAAGGAAAAGAGCAGGUUCAGCCCACCGUGCUGGGGGCUGAUCAAACAGAGCUGGCUGAUGAGCUCAGAAGCCUGGGAAGGUUCUGUACUUCAGCCAUAGAAUGGGCUUGGUUAACAAGGGAGCUGCCCCUUGCUCCUCAAGCCCCCAGACCUCUACAGCCCUGGGCGGUGACUCCUUGACCUUCCCCGUAUCAGCCAAAGGCCUGAUGUUCAAGGUCCCCGUCCAUUACCGCCUGAAUGAGCUCAGCAUUUAUUGUUCUUCCAUACUAUUAAAGGAGCUAAAAGGUUGGGGAAAUGUAUAAUGCACCGAAAGGUCAAGUGGAAAUCACGGCGUGGAGGCCGCUCUUACCAGGUAACGAGCCCGCUGCUGCUCUGGGGGGAGGAAGGAACUCAGAAAGGCCCCCUCCCGGGCGGGCCCAGCAACAAUUGCCCAAUUGCACUGACCUUUCGCUCCUCGGCGUCCGCCACAGCCCGCUCCUGGCUCACUUUGUCGGUCUGAAGGCCGAUCUUGGUAAUGAGAGCCUCGGCAUCCCGGCUGCGCAGGUGGAGCUCGGCCUCUUGGGAAGCCAG